CAUUUAGUAUGAUCAGGACUUUAUCCUCAAACUUUAAAAUAAACAUUUGUCGUAAUAAAACACGAGUCAGAAAUGUAACACACUUCCAUCUCAGGAUACAAAAACAGUCGCUAAGCAUUCUGGGAAAUGGCUCUCACAGCUGUCUUUCUCUUCUUUCAGUUUUUUUUAGUGUUAACCUAAAAACCCUAGUUUAUUCAACUCUCGGAGGUUUGACCAAAUGAGUAAAAAGUUAACACAAUUUACUACUAUAAGUUUAUCUUUCAGAAACUCACAUUUUGGUACAAAACCUAAAACUCUAAAUUUAUUUGACUUAAAGAGCAGAAGACAGUAAAAGCUGCUCAAAUGUUUUACACUGUCAGACUGUCGCAUAUCGAUUAUUAGAAUAUACUAUCGAUUAAUACAGAAAAUCCACUGAGGUAAAGAUCAACCAUCAGUUCAUUAUAGACGUCCAAAUGAAUAUCAAUAAGGAUCUUUGAUACUUUAUAUAACUUAAAAAAUCAUAACUUCUGUAAUUGCUUAUAAACUUUGAUUUUUUUAGCAUGACAGUUUGAUUAAAUUAUCAUGUUUAAUCAAACUGCCAUUAACAAGAAAAUAAUGUAACUACGAAGAGCUACAUGAGUGAACAGCCUUUUGAAAAGGAGACAUUGUUCAAAUGAAGAUGCAUGCCCUUUAAAAUAAUCUGUUUCCGACUCCAGCAGAAGUCUGAGUCACCAGGCGAAGCUCUGUGUUCGUCUCCAGUGCUUAUAUAAGCAUUAGGUUGUUUUGCAGUGUAAAUUCAAAAGACAGAUAUUAUGUUAACUCAGCAAAAAACAACUUUAAAAGAUGAAAGAAACGAGAGAAGUAAAAAGUUCACCUGAAUAUUUAUGGCUUCACAAUCUGCUGCUUCAGUCAAUUCAAAUCAACACAUCAAUAUUUUUUCAGUUAUUUUUCUACAUAUCUUACCUUUCAUUUCUUUUAUUUGCAGUAUGACAUUUCUUUUGUUUUUCUUUACAUCAUUCCUUCUUUCUGGAUACCAGAAGGAAUGUCAGUUUUUUCCUAAGUUUCAACAAUCUCAUAUUCAAGUUAAUUCUGUUUUAACAUCCUUUUAACAUGAUUUUUAUUAUCUUCCUUAUUCUUUUUCUCUCUUUUUACAACUUCUUAGCUCAGGAUACAAUUUAUCUCCCUUUUCUCGUCUUUGCCAGUCUGCAAACCAGAAUUUUAAUUAAUAUGGAGGAGCAUCUGUUGUUGUUUAAAAUGUUAAGUUCCAAUAAAACCUGAAGCAUCUAUAGAAACAUGUUCUCUGCUCUCCUCUUCCCAUCCUCCUACUCGGUCUCUGCCUCACUCCUCACCGCAUUUAUCUCACACAUUUGGUAAUUUGGCCUCUUCUUCUCUCCUCUUCGGGAUCCAAUCAGUUCAUUUUCACACACUUCCUCUUUGCACUCCCCACCCACUCACACACACACACACGCACGCACACACACACCAACCUACUUGUAGGGAAUGUGUUUGCUGCCGUUGACCAGGGCCAGAAUCACGUUCCCGAGGGCGGACAGAGAAAGGCACAGAGGAGCCGAGCUUGGUGAAGAGUUUUCUCUGCUUUUCCCGCCGCCGCUGCCUCCUCCCAGUGCUUUAGCAUCACAGCUCCCCAGGUCCAGCAGGUGGAGUCGACUACGACCUCCUGACACUGAAAUGUGUGAAAAACGGGAUGAAACUGAAGUGGAGCUUUCAAAAAGAAAACAAAGAAUGAAUCCCUGCCCAAUCCAACAGGACCAUUUAGAGAGUUUGACGGUGAAGCUGUAGCUCUUAAGAUAUGCAACGUGAAGAGCAUGUGGGAGUUCCUGUGUUCUUCCUCUGUGGUGUUGGGUCGCUGGCUGCUGUGGCGAGCUGCGAUGGCUGCAUCCAGAAACCAGGCCGCCUUCUCUGGGGUCGGAGCACGGAGCUCCGAUUGGUUUUGGAGCUGGAAAACAUCCAGAUUUGAAAAAUAAAGCAUCAAUGGUGCAGAUAUGACAUAAUGGGAGAGGCUGUCAAGUCCUGGUUCUGUGGCUGACUGCUUCAGCCAGAUGCACAGGAACGUUGUGCUGCAGGCUAUAAAACACUGAAGAAGUUGUGUUCAAGAGGCUGUUACCCAGUUUGGAGUGUCCGAAGCAGAAGAUGCAGCCGUCCGCUCCGUUCACCACCGACUGGAUGACCUCAGCCACCGUUCCUGCACACACCUCCGCCUGGCAACAGGCGACCACGGAAAGACGAUGAGGAAAAACACAAAGCAAAGAUUAUAUACCGAGGAGGAAAUGCGGCGUCGAAGGUGAACAUCUUUGGAGGAGCGUGAUUGACUCCUGCUCUUUUCUGGGAGGCAGCAUUCGGUGUCUGGUUGGCAGACGGGUCCAUGAUGGUGAUCUGUUUCUUUCUGGGAUCCACUUUCAAGAAGGAACUGGACUCUGUAGCAUCAGACUGAGACGUUGGGGAAACUCUGACCAUCACCUUCACCUGAAAGCUGAUCAGAAACAGACUUUUAAAGCCGACGAACAGGGUGACCCACUUUCCUGAAGUGACCUGGACCAACCAAAACCAGAUCAUCUUCCAUCCACUUAUGAUUUGGGCGUGGAUCCGGCUGAGAAAUACACAGCUACACACCAGGAAAGCAGGGACAAAAGCCUCAAGGCGCCAUCUUGCUUUGCAUUAAUACAACCUGCCUCCAGAUAAAAUACCUGCAUGCUGCACACACUCCUUUAUCCAACUGCAUGUAAAACAGCGCUAGUCAAACGGACGAACCAACCUGAGAGGAGUCUGACUUUAAUUUAAGGUGAACUUCCACUCCCUGAGGCCGGCGAUCCUGUCCCAAAACCCGGAGAGCCUCCGAGAGAACCCGGUGAUCCAGUGCCAAUCCCUGGGGAAAUAGUUCCCGGAGAUCCAGAGAAGGAUCCUGGUGAUGAGAUCCCCGAGCCUGGGGAAGGGGUACCAGUGGAGCUGGGCAUGGACCCGGCUCCCUCUGGCGCUGGACGAGUGCCGGAGCGACUGGUUUCCUCGUAGGCCUUUCGGCACCAUGUGUCCGGGAAAAUGGAGGCCGAUUUUGUUGGGGAGGAGUCAGGCAUCUGUGAGAAUAUAUAGAUUGUUUCACUGUUAGGAAAGACAUGCUAUAUCUCAAAGGUGACCCAUUAUGGUCCCUCAAACAAGUUAGAAAAAGUCUGUGGGCUAAACAAAACAUGGUCAUUAGAUUUUUUGUGCAAAGUCAUUCUUAGACGAUGUGGUUUUAAUGUGUUCAAUCCUGAAUAUUUUGAACUCCUUUCAGAUGAAGCUGUUUUAGGGCCUUUUGUCACUUUAAAUCCAAAUAAGCUGCUCCUGGCCACGCCCCUCACCUCAACAUUUACACUCAAGCAGAUGUGACAAACAUACAUCUUUGAAAAGCAGAAGUGGAGCAUCAGGCACAACCACCAAGAAUGCAGCAAGGGGUUUCUGGAUGGUAAGGCAACAAAAAAACAUUUGUCUUUUCCAGCAGCCAUUGUACAGCACAGUGGUAAAAUCAGCUGACCAAACAUGCUGGAGCUCGGCUGGGGUUGCUAGGAAACGGCGCAGUGCCUGUUGAUUGUUUGGGACUCAUUUUCCAAACAGCAAAAAAACAUCAAAUUAUUGCCAGAAAAUGGCAGGUGUAGAGAUCAGGCUGUUUCCAGAAGCAGCUGAGACCCAAAUUGAAAUACAAAAAUGUGUGAAAAGUGAA
Molecule: long non-coding RNA, 3691 nt
Organism: Poeciliopsis prolifica (blackstripe livebearer)
Lineage: Eukaryota; Metazoa; Chordata; Actinopteri; Cyprinodontiformes; Poeciliidae
Exons: 9
Source: RefSeq, a predicted model, not a curated record